Molecule: ribosomal RNA, 876 nt
Filed under: uncultured bacterium
Lineage: Bacteria
Description: bacterial SSU rRNA
Rfam family: Bacterial small subunit ribosomal RNA
Source: RNAcentral
UGGCAAAAGGGCGAGUAACGCGUGGGUAACCUACCUCCGAAACCGGGAUAACUUUGCGAAAGCGAGGCUAAUACCGGAUAAGACCACGGUCCAUAAGGACUGUGGUAAAAGGAAGCCUCUAUUUAUAAGCUACCAUUUGGAGAGGGGCCUGCGUCCUAUCAGCUAGUUGGUGAGGUAACGGCCCACCAAGGCUAUUGACGGGUAGCUGGACUAAGAGGUUGGUCAGCCGCACUGGGACUGAGACACUGCCCAGACUCCUACGGGAGGCUGCAGUCGAGAAUCUUUGGCAAUGCCCGAAAGGGUGACUAUGCGACGCCGCGUGAGCGAUGAAGGUCUUCGGAUUGUAAAGCUCUGUCAAGUGGGAUGAAUACCCCAACCAUAACAUGGUUGGGGAAUGACAGUACCACUGGAGGAAGCCACGGCUAACUCCGUGCCAGCAGCCGCGGUAAUACGGAGGUGGCAAGCGUUGUUCGGAUUUAUUGGGUGUAAAGGGCAGGUAGGUGUCCUAGCAAGUUCUGGUUGAAAUCCUUCAGCUCAACUGGAGAACCGGUCAGAAAACUGCUAGGAUUGAGUGCGGAAGAGGAGAACGGAAUUCCCGGUGUAAGGGUGAAAUCUGUAGAUAUCGGGAAGAACACCAGUGGCGAAAGCGGUUCUCUAGUACGUUACUGACACUGAACUGCGAAAGCUAGGGGAGCAAACAGGAUUAGAUACCCUGGUAGUCCUAGCCGUAAACGAUGAGCACUAGGUGCGGGCUCGCAAGGGUCCGUGCCGCAGUUAACACAUUAAGUGCUCCACCUGGGGACUACGGCCGCAAGGUUGAAACUCAAAGAAAUUGACGGGGACCCGCACAAGCGGUGGAGCAUGUGGUUUAAUACG